Non-coding RNA from Meleagris gallopavo (turkey), 1614 nucleotides. The record is from RefSeq and is a predicted model, not a curated record. Lineage: Eukaryota; Metazoa; Chordata; Aves; Galliformes; Phasianidae.
UUUUUUUUCUCUUGAAAGAUUUCAGUGCUAUAGUAUCAUAGAGUAUCCUGAGUUGGAAGGAACCCACAAGGAUCAUGGAGUCCACCCCCGGCCCCACAAAGCACCACCCAAACCUUAUGGCUGAGAGCAGUGUCCCAGCGCUCCCUGAGCAUCUGAGGGCAGAGCACUUUCCUAACAUCCAGCCUGAGCCUCUCCCCAAGGGCAUGUAGUUAUGCCUUGUAAAUAACUACCCAUGGAAUUGUGCAAUUUUCUAUUCCUUUUGCUGGAUGAUGGGGGUCAAGGAUGCUGAAGUGAAAAGAGGCCUCACACAGGGAUGGGAGCAGAGGGAUUUGAUUGCACGCAAGCCCUGCAGCAGGGAAGAGCGUUGUUCUAGGAGCAUCAUUGCCCGAAACAGCACUGCAAGCACAGAUCCCUGAGGUGUGAGGCUGGGAACAUCAACAGCAGCAAAUUGCAGAGUCCUGGAGCUCCCCUGAAAGGGCCAUCAUUAACAGCAGGUUUAAAAGCAAAUCUAAUGGAUGUUGGAGAAACAAACCACCUUUAUCCUGGGCAUUUGCUGUUCAGUCCCACUGCUCCUGCAGAGCUCAGGCUGCACAGGCACAGCACUGCUCAGCUCUUGGCUCCUGUUCAGAUCUCAAGACGUCUUCGGUGAUAAGGAGCGUUGUGGCUUCCAAUGAGACCGAUGGGCUCUUGCACAGAAGGCACGACAUCUUCUGUUGUGUUGGCUGGAAGUAAAGCCACGAGGCACAGCCAAAACCCAGCUUUCUGACUGCAAUAAAGUGCCAAAAUGUCACUCCUCCUUCUGUGCUUCUCGCUUGAGCGUUCCUUCCCUUUCUGUGCAUAUCACUCGCUCUGUGGUUCGUCAGCUCCAGGUGGGCUGUGCUGCCUUCACUGCCUGGUGGAGCCCGAGUGGAUCUGCUUGAGGAUGUGCUUCAAUCUCACCUAUAUUGUAUUCCUGGAUAUAGAUUGGCUUCAGCACAUGUCAAGUCCUUUGCUGAGCCAAGGCCCGUGCCAACACAUCAAGAAUUUGGACUCCUUUACGCUGCUAUUGUCCUUCAGAACUAAGCAGUGCCUUUUCCCAUGUAUUAGAAAGGGAAAAAAAAUCAAUUUUGUAGCAUAGUGAAGAAGCUGGGUGAAUGUUUAGAGUGGCAAAGCCCAAGGCAGUCUGUAUUACAUUCUGCUAACUCCAUCAGGCAUAGGUGUUGCUGGAGGUGAGUGUGCAACAGGGCUGUCUUCAAUAAGAAGCUCAGGAUAUCUAGGGAGCUUUAGCUGUGAAGGCUCCUGUAAGGUUUUCAUAACUCCUGCCAAAGGAGAAAGACUUAAAAACCUUCCUUUGCCUUGCUCUCUUUCUGUCUAUUGUAUUAUUUAAUCUCACCUUCGCUCAGCAGAGUUCUUAUGUGUUGAAAGGAAAUGAAAUCUCUGCUGUGUUAUUAUUGCUCUCUGCUUAGAUAAAUAGCGUUGUGCUGGAUUCAGGGCAAGGCUCGCCAGCUUUUGCCUUAUAAAUAUGCUGCUCUGGGCAGCACGGCUCUGAGAGUGAAAAGUGCUCUGAGGUAUUGCUGAGAGAUCUUCCCAUCUCUGCCACUGGAACUGAGUCCUUUAACAAGUGAACAUUCAGGG